This 1947-nucleotide ribosomal RNA is filed under the name seawater metagenome. RNAcentral describes it as "bacterial LSU rRNA". It matches the Rfam family "Bacterial large subunit ribosomal RNA", at positions 1 to 1977 of the family's 2925-position model. The record is from RNAcentral.
AUAAGUUAAGUAAGGGCGCAUGGCGGAUGCCUAGGCUCUCAGAGACGAUGAAGGACGUGAUAAGCUGCGAAAAGUUACGGGGAGGGGCACAUACCUUAUAAUCCGUAAAUAUCCGAAUGGGGCAACCCACUAUAUUGAAGAUAUAGUAUCCGCAAGGAGGUAAACCCGGUGAACUGAAACAUCUAAGUAACCGGAGGAAGAGAAAACAAAAGUGAUUCCGUUAGUAGUGGCGAGCGAACGCGGAUUAGCCCAAACCAAUGUUGUUACGGCAAUAUUGGGGUUGUAGGACCACGAUAUUCAAUGCUAAGUGAAUUAGAACUGUUUGGAAAGACAGACCAUAGAGGGUGAUAGUCCCGUAAAAGUAAGCGAAGUUAUUGAUAGUGGUAUCCUGAGUAGUGCGGGACACGAGUAAUCCUGUAUGAAUCCACCGGGACCAUCCGGUAAGGCUAAAUACUCCUGAGAGACCGAUAGUGAACUAGUACCGUGAGGGAAAGGUGAAAAGAACCCUAAGUAAGGGAGUGAAAGAGAUCCUGAAACCGUACGCCUACAAGCGGUCGGAGCACAUUUACUGUGUGACGGCGUGCCUUUUGCAUAAUGAGCCUACGAGUUACUGUUUCUAGCAAGGUUAAAUGUUUAAGACAUGGAGCCGUAGCGAAAGCGAGUCUGAAUAGGGCGCUUUAGUUAGUAGUAGUAGACGCGAAACCGAGUGAUCUACCCAUGGGCAGGUUGAAGCUGUGGUAACACAUAGUGGAGGACCGAACCAGUUGACGUUGAAAAGUCUUUGGAUGACCUGUGGGUAGGGGUGAAAGGCCAAUCAAACUCGGAAAUAGCUCGUACUCCCCGAAAUGCAUUUAGGUGCAGCGUUGAGCAAAAGUUUUAUAGAGGUAGAGCUACUGAUUGGAUGCGGGGGCUUCACCGCCUACCAAUUCCUGACAAACUCCGAAUGCUAUAAAAUGUUUCUCAGCAGUGAGGGCAUGGGUGCUAAGGUCCAUGUCCGAGAGGGAAAGAACCCAGACCAUCAGCUAAGGUCCCCAAAUAUAUGUUAAGUUGAAUAAACGAGGUGAAACUGCUUAGACAGCUAGGAUGUUGGCUUGGAAGCAGCCAUUCAUUUAAAGAGUGCGUAACAGCUCACUAGUCGAGCGGUCGAGCAUGGAUAAUAAUCGGGCAUAAACAUAUUACCGAAGCUAUGGACUUGUAAAAGUGGUAGGGGAGCAUUGUAACCUGCGUAGAAGGUGUGCUGUGAGGCAUGCUGGAGUGGUUACAAAAGAAAAUGUAGGCAUAAGUAACGAUAAUGCGGGCGAGAAACCCGCACACCGAAAGACUAAGGUUUCCUCAGCGAUGCUAAUCAGCUGAGGGUUAGUCGGGUCCUAAGGCGAAUCCGAAGGGAGUAGUCGAUGGAUAACAGGUUAAUAUUCCUGUACUUCUUAUAAUUGCGAUGGGGUGACGGAGUAUUGAAAGCACCGCGUACUGACGGAAUAGUACGUUGAAGACUGUAUUUAUAGAAUUUGUAGGUAAAUCCGCAGAUUUUGGAGAAGGUCGAUAGUACCACAAAUCUUCGGACGAGUGGAUAGUGUGCCUAAAGGCUUCCAAGAAAAACCUCUAAGCUUCAGAUUAUAAGAACCCGUACCGUAAACCGACACAGGUAGUUGGGAUGAGAAUUCUAAGGUGCUCGAGAGAUUCAUGGCUAAGGAACUAGGCAAAAUCGACCCGUAACUUCGGGAGAAGGGUCGCCCAUCUUCGGAUGGGCCGCAGUGAAAAGGUCCAGGCGACUGUUUAUCAAAAACACAGGGCUUUGCUAAAUUGAAAGAUGAUGUAUAAGGCCUGACACCUGCCCGGUGCUGGAAGGUUAAGUGGAGGGUUUAGCUUCGGCGAAGAUCUGAAAUGAAGCCCCAGUAAACGGCGGCCGUAACUAUAACGGUCCUAAGGUAGCGAAAUUCCUUGUCGGGU